CCUACGGGUGGCAGCAGUGAGGAAUAUUGGUCAAUGGACGAGAGUCUGAACCAGCCAAGUAGCGUGAAGGAUGACUGCCCUCUGGGUUGUAAACUUCUUUUAUAAAGGCAUAAAACGCGGCACGUGUGCCUUUUUGCAUGUACUUUAUGAAUAAGGAUCGGCUAACUCCGUGCCAGCAGCCGCGGUAAUACGGAGGAUCCGAGCGUUAUACGGAUUUAUUGGGUUUAAAGGGAGCGUAGAUGGGUUGUUAAGUCAGUUGUGAAAGUUUGCGGCUCAACCGUAAAAUUGCAAUUGAUACUGGCAGUCGUGAGUACAGUUGAGGUAGGCGGAAUUCGUGGUGUAGCGGUGAAAUGCUUAGAUAUCACGAAGAACCCCGAUUGCGAAGGCAGAUUACUAAACUGUGACUGACAUUGAUGCUCGAAAGUGUGGGUAUCAAACAGGAUUAGAUACCCGAGUAGUC
RNAcentral lists this ribosomal RNA (460 nucleotides) under uncultured bacterium. RNAcentral describes it as "partial 16S ribosomal RNA". It matches the Rfam family "Bacterial small subunit ribosomal RNA", at positions 338 to 795 of the family's 1533-position model. The record is from RNAcentral.